AAAGGAAUUGACGGGGACCCGCACAAGCGGUGGAGCAUGUGGUUUAAUUCGACGCAACGCGAAGAACCUUACCAGGCCUUGACAUCCUGUUGACCAUCCGGGUAACGCCGGACUCCCUUCGGGGCAACAGAGACAGGUGGUGCAUGGUUGUCGUCAGCUCGUGUCGUGAGAUGUUGGGUUAAGUCCCGCAACGAGCGCAACCCUUAUCUUUAGUAGCCAGCGGUUCGGCCGGGCACUCUAGAGAGACUGCCAGGGAUAACCUGGAGGAAGGCGGGGACGACGUCAAAUCAUCAUGCCCCUUACGGUCUGGGCUACACACGUGCUACAAUGGUGACUACAAAGAGACGCGAAGGAGCGAUCCGGAGCAAAUCCCAAAAAGGUCACCCCAGUUCGGAUUGUAGUCUGCAACUCGACUGCAUGAAGCUGGAAUCGCUAGUAAUCGCGAAUCAGAAUGUCGCGGUGAAUACGUUCCCGGGUCUUGUACACACCGCCCGU
This 495-nucleotide ribosomal RNA is filed under the name uncultured bacterium. RNAcentral describes it as "bacterial SSU rRNA". It matches the Rfam family "Bacterial small subunit ribosomal RNA", at positions 903 to 1397 of the family's 1533-position model. The record is from RNAcentral.